GAGAGACGCAGCUCUUCGCGCGCUUCUGUCUUUCUCUCGUUCUGUCACACACGCGCAAAUACUCUGUGUCUGGCUUUCACGCGCUCUUUCUUUCCUCUUGGCUGCAUCGUUUCUGCGCCUUUAUUUCAUUUCUCCUUCAGAUCAACGCUCGCGGAUGGUUUUUGGUUUGGCGUUGCAGGACUCCAGCGUGUUGUGGAAUGAAGUGUUGAUGCUGUUUCCAGGGUUGAGUGUCUCUGUAGAGUCAAAGUGCUUACAGUGCAGGUAGUUCAGUACGGUGUCUACUGCAGUGGAGGCACUUCAAGCUCUACACACUCGGUGCUCCUCUGGUUUAACUGGAAUCUUCACCCAUGAUGCCUGUUAUGGUAAAUUCCUGCGGGCUCCCAUAACCAGGAACAUUUCUAAAAGUGAGUAUAGCGUGUUUUGUUUGCGUUUCACUACUGUCUUAAGAUUAAUCCCUUUGCUAGCUACAUUGGGAGACUGUAUUAGACCAAUCACAGGCAUUGUGUAAAUAUGAAUGUAAAUGGCCAGACUUGGUGUUAUGUACUGUUUCAGGUUUGUGUGAUUUUUCCAGUGAAAUACACAAUGUUGAAUUUGUUGAAUUGACUGUUUGCUAAUAAAAUUCUUGCACUUGA
Long non-coding RNA from Ictalurus punctatus (channel catfish), 632 nucleotides. Lineage: Eukaryota; Metazoa; Chordata; Actinopteri; Siluriformes; Ictaluridae. The record is from Ensembl.